GGUCGCGUAGCUCAGCUGGAUAGAGCAUCUGCCUUCUAAGCAGACGGUCAAAGGUUCGAAUCCUUUCGCGAUCACGA
This 77-nucleotide transfer RNA is filed under the name Arenibacter aquaticus. RNAcentral describes it as "Arenibacter sp. GUO666 tRNA-Arg". It matches the Rfam family "tRNA". Rfam says of the family: Transfer RNA (tRNA) molecules are approximately 80 nucleotides in length. Their secondary structure includes four short double-helical elements and three loops (D, anti-codon, and T loops). Further hydrogen bonds mediate the characteristic L-shaped molecular structure. tRNAs have two regions of fundamental functional importance: the anti-codon, which is responsible for specific mRNA codon recognition, and the 3' end, to which the tRNAs corresponding amino acid is attached (by aminoacyl-tRNA synthetases). tRNAs cope with the degeneracy of the genetic code in two manners: having more than one tRNA (with a specific anti-codon) for a particular amino acid; and 'wobble' base-pairing, i.e. permitting non-standard base-pairing at the 3rd anti-codon position. Lineage: Bacteria; Pseudomonadati; Bacteroidota; Flavobacteriia; Flavobacteriales; Flavobacteriaceae. The record is from RNAcentral.